Pipra filicauda (Wire-tailed manakin) is the source of this 6370-nucleotide long non-coding RNA. RefSeq lists it as uncharacterized. The record is from RefSeq and is a predicted model, not a curated record. NCBI's taxonomy places the organism in Eukaryota, Metazoa, Chordata, Aves, Passeriformes, Pipridae. The transcript is spliced from 7 exons.
ACAGAGCAGUUUAUCUCACAAACAGCCUGAGCAGCUUGGGAGAGGUUCCUCACAGCCUGCUCUGCCUGCCUCAGUGAUGAGCAGCUACAGGAGGAGCUGAUCUGCAGCACCAGCCUGAGGAUGGUAGAAGGCUGGUGUGGUCUUCUGGUGCAUAUCUAAUUUCAGGAGGGAGCUUCAGUGCCCAGGAUCAUCGGACCAGAACACGUAUUUCUGCACGUCAGCCAUUGUUUACUUCACAAGCAAGUCUCAGAGCUGCUUACCAGGACCUGGUUGUAUAACAGCUCUCAUCUCCAGUUUGCCAAAGUUCCUGCAAACACCUGCUUAAUGUCGUUAGCAGAGAACACAGGAGAAUCUGCAAAGUAUCUGACAAAGUGUAAACCUUUGGGGGGCCUGAGCUGUUACCACCUGCAGCCAUCAAAUUCUGCCUUGGUGCUCUGGCUGUGUGCUGCUGUCCAUGUGUGGGAGUUGGAAACAAAAGUAGCAGUCAGCUCUUACUCUUACACAAGUAAUCCUGGUACAUUUAGCCAUAUUUUGUCAGCCUGGCCCCUUCACACUCUGUGCAUUCUUAGACCUGACCCCAAGGAAGGGGAGGUGAAAGGAAAAGACAUUGUACAGAACCUACACAAGCUUGCCAAUUAAGCGAACACCUCAUGCCUCUUUUCUCUUUGGUGCUAGAGAAAAUAAAAUCCGGAAAGAACUUCAGUGUCUGACCAUUCUGUACCUGUGACAGAGGCAAAUUCUACUUCACUGCUUUCUUUAUAGAAGCUCAAGAUCAUCUUUGGAUGUGUUUGAACUAUUUUGCUUGGGAAGAAGCCUCACCAUCCAGGCACGGCAUAGGAAUGGGAGCAGAGUAAAUUGCUCGGAUGCUGCUGCUGCCUGACUGCAUAUCGAGGGAUCUGUGAGGAGCUGCAGGAAGGGUAGAAGCACUCCCUUUAUCAGCUUCGGGUAAGAUAAGAGUGGAGCCAACAGAAGUGCUGGUCCUGAGCAUUUCAAUCAAGCCCUGUGUACACAGGAGAUGGCUAAACAUUAAUUAGGGGUCUUCAGCUGUGAGUUCUGACAGCAGAUCAAGUAGCCUCUACGGCUUCAGGAUCAACAGAUGCCUAAGGACUGGAACAUUGGAAAAAUCAGAAGCAAGGAUGAAGAAAACGUGAAUGUCUUUAGCUUUCUGAGAACUGUUCUGAAAGACCCUUCUGGAUUAGCUCAACUAUAGUCAGUGCAGCCAAGAUAUCUGCUGACUAGAAAGCUUUAGGUUCCAAAAUUCCAUCUUAGGGUUAGGACUAGAUCUCUAACCACACUGAGCAGUGUUAAAUCAGUUAUGCAGAACAUUAUGGAAAAUAAUGAAAAGCAAUGAACACCUCCCCCCCACCGGGGCAUUUAUUGAAAUAUUGGAAAUAUAGAAUUUUAUGAACAAAACCUCUCAGUCAGGGUGACACAGAGUUUUCUGAGGAAAGGGCAGACCCUAGGCAAUCUAGACUGGGACCUCUCAGAAUAUGCUUUUAACUCAUAAAAUGUUAAGAAUACUUGAUGGAAAGACCUAAUACUAGCCAGCCUGAGAUUUUUAUUUGUUUUUGUGGUCUACAGCUUGCUAUAAGGAUUUGUGACAGCUACUCUUGCUUUCUGAAGACUGUGCAGAACUUCAGCACAGUUGGGUGGAAUGAUUUUUAUGGUGUCACAGAACUAUUCUCAACAGACACUGGUUAAUCCAGUGUCUAUAGGAAUUUCCUAUAGGAAUUUCCUAUAGGAUCAUGUGGAGGUUGCUGUUGUUGCCUCUCCAUUUCCACAUAUGAAUGGACAGGAUAAAUAACCCAAACAGCUUUUCUUCACUCCAGGUUAAGGGUGGCUUACAUUGGUUUAUUUGGAAUCAGCCACUACCUGACUUGAGGAAGUGACAUAGAGGAAAAUGAGAGAAUCCAUACAGUGACUGGCACCAUUAUAACUAAUGUCACAGGUCCAGGAUCAGCUUAAACAGGAUAAAUGGCUGCUGCUGCUAAAAGGAGAAGCUGAUUUUUGUGGCUUCCUGCCUUACUUCUCCUCUCACAGACUUGUUUCCUCAGUUGUGCUGCCUGAAUCAUUCAGAUCAUCAUUCAUAGAAGAGAGAAAAGAUUAAAGUUUCGAACUACUUAAUUUAAAUUUGGUCCUUUUACAGAUCAAACAUAGAGGGCAGCAUUGCAAAAAGGUUGAAUUAAUAUGACCAUAUUUAAAUGAAACUUUCAUCCAUGUGCUUAGCUAGUCUGAAUAUGGCAUACCUGAAUGACUGAAGAAGAACACAGAACUUCUGUAAAUGUGGUGAUUUUUCAGUAGUGUUUGCUUGUAAACAUCUUUAGGGGCAAAAAAAAAAAAAAGAGGAUAUUGAGCCAGUUUAAUAGAUUAUCAUGACAUCCUGAGUCUCCAAGAGACAUAGAGGCCUGAAAUGAGAACACAGUGUGUGUGCAUUUUGUUAAUGUAGUUUUGCGUGGUUAAAGAUGAAAAAGAAAUAGCUGGGGGAAUUCUAGUGAGCAGUAAACUUUAUCCUAGGCAAUGACAGUGAGAAAAUAUCUGUGAAUUUGGGAUGACUUUACAGCUUGAGAUGAGUAUGUGUUUAACAUUUAUGGUGAAACUUGGCCUGGCUUAAUUCAUUUCUACUGGUGCGUAAUGGUUGCCCUGGGAACACUUAUAAACUUCCUCUUUAAGUGAAAAUCUACCAUCUUCUCUGUUAAAUCUUCCUGUUUUUACAGGAGCACAGAUUUCCAGGUGCCUGGGAUAGUUUAUCAUUUGGAAAACUGCCCUUCGUUCCUGCACAUAAAAAUUGACAAGACAAAAAUGCUUUUCUUCUCUGAGUAAACUGUGCUGAUGUUUCUCCAGUGAUACAAAAUUUCUUCCUCAGUCCCUCCUCUGGUUAUGUGUGUAUUUGUAAUAGAUUAAAUCUGUUCAGCACAACAGAUUCUAUUCUACUCACAAGAGUAAAGCCACAGACAUCUGUGGGAGAGAAACACAAUCCCUGAUCUAGGUGAAGGAACUAAAUCAUGAUGAUACACCCUCUGAUACAUGGAAGGGUUGUAUUAGCUGGGGACAGUGCUUGAGCAGCUGGGGCUGAUCCCACUGAAGCACCCCUGCCCACCAAUCCCACAGUGAUAAAUCUGUAUUACAUGCCUGUGUCUGAUGUGCUCAUAUCAAAAUUAUGGUUGCCAUCUACAAACCACGGCAAAACAUCUGGCAAGAGAAUUUGCAGCUUAGGUGCAGAGCUACAGUAAGGAAUAUUUACUCCAGCAUUCCUCUCUGGGAUGUAUUUUAGCACCCACAUAAUGAUCUGAUCCAAUGCCCACAUAUACAUGCCUGACCUUGAGUGAUUAUACAAUGAUAAUUUUAUGUGUCUUGUCUUUGCUGCCAUUUUAUUCUGAAGGAACUGCCUCCAGUUAAGCUUUUGUUUUCCCUAAAAGUACCACAACUAAGUUAACACUGCUGUGUUAACUCUUUAGGCACUGGCUGGAGUUCUGCAGAGCUGAGUUUGAAUCACAAGGAUGGGCCAGUUCUUUAGCCCUGUGUUGGAAUCAGAGUUAGUGUGCCUAGAGUAACUCCAUGCUUGAUAGUUUGACAAGGGAGAAGUGGGGAAGUGAACAGCUACUUGUCAAAGCAGUGAACUACCAACUGCCUCUACUACUUGACAAGCCUGGUCUUCAGCGUGGUUGUUUUUCUUCCUCUUGGGCUGAAUCUCUCUAUUCUCUCUCUCUCCAGUCUUGCCCCAACCAACCAACCAAAAACCCAAUCAAAAAACCGCCCACCAACCCCAAACCUCAAACAGCAGUCUUUACAUCUCUCUGAAGGAAAGUGAUCUGUAAAAUUAAGGCACACAGAUGCUUUUUGUUGACACCUAACUAUAAGUCCCACUUCAGUAACAAGAUAUAAUCUGCAACUGCUUUGAAGAUGUUGAAAUUUAAGAACAGUAAGAACUUUGAGCUAAAGACAGAACUAAAUUGUUAAGGAAGCUUUUGAUUCCAGCAGGAGCAACUACAAACUAAAAUGUUUCCUGCCUUACCAAGAAGUUUGUGACAUUGGGGAUGAAUGGGAUGUUCCUUCAUUGCAGCUUUAACACACUUCCUCACCUGAGACUCACUUGUUUCCUGUCCAAGGGGAUGCUCAGAACCAUUCUGGGAGAUCUGAGAGAAACAAGGAAAUAGUGCCAGAAGCAAUGACAGAAAAAAAAGGAGUGGAUGACCACACUGGACAUUUUGGAAGUAGCUCACAGGAGUCUUCAAAUACCUGCUCACCUUGAACUCAUUCUUUCAAUUUACUGGGAAAGAAGAUUAAUGUAAGCCUUUCAAUGCUACCAUUUUAAUGCUGUGUACCCCUCAUCCCAGUUAUCCUCUCCUGGGUGUUCCCACAUUUCUCAGGGCAGGCAGAUGUUGGUGUGUGCCUGUGCUUGCUGGAGCUCAGGGUGAGCAGGAGUUCUCAGUGCACAGAAUCACCCUGUGCCUUGUCUCUCUAGCUCUUCAUUAGCAGCUGACAGUUCUGCAGCAUUAGGAGGUUUGGGGAGGCAUCUCUAACCCUCUGCAGAUCAAAGGACCCAGAGCAAUAUCUCAUUUUAUAUGAAACAGCUCUUUCAAUGAUCCGUGCCACAUCUGUUCCCUUACAUCCACUCUGUCACAUUCCAGCUAACAGGAGACUUUUACAUAUAUUUACAUUAACGAGACAGAACGCCAAGCAUACUCAGAAAAUAUUUUGAGGGAUUUAGUAUUACAGCGUUCCCCUGAAGGGUUUUUUCCUUCUGCUUUACUGACUUUGCAUAUCUCCCUUCUCCUCCAGCUGUGAAAAGACUCCCUGUGCAUAGAUUGCCAUCUCAGAAAGUCUCAGUCUAGCAACUCUUAGUACUGGCUUGUAAUAUUAGACAAUAAGAGUCAUCUGAUGAAGAAAUUGCACUUUAAAAAAAAAAGAAAAAAAGGCAAAUCACAUGGUCUAUGUACCACUUCAGUGAUGAGUAGAAAGAGAAUGGAAAAUAGUAUAUGUUCCAAGGUGACAAAACAUGUAAUCUGUAGGUAGUACUAUUACAUGCACUGGAUAUAGUUCAUUUGUCUGUUUUACGUGAGGGACUGGAAGUGAGCUUCAAGUUGUCUGUAAAGGAGUGAUCAGCCUGAGCAUGAAAAGACUCCACCCUAGAGAUCAGUAAAACUUUGAGCUACAUCCUCCUGGCUUCUACUCCAGCUUAACUUUCUGUCUUGUACAGAGACACCUGCCUGUGAAUUUUUUACCAAAAAAAAAAAAAACAGGAGGUAGAUGCAUAAAAGAUUUGGCAACAGAGCUUAUUUUUCAGUUAGAUCACUUUCUCCCAUCUGAUUUACAGCAUAGCUUCCCAAAUACUUGAGUAGCCUGAGAGGAAGGUGAAGCAUGCUGUGGAGAUUAAAGGAAGGAGAAGAGGAAAUGGGAAUAUUUUUAGUUUUCCUGAAAGGAAAAUCAAACUUCUAGUAGGGAGUAGAGGACAGGAAAAUCUCAACCAUCUUGAAAAAUGGUCUGUUGUCAAAAAAUAAAAAAAAGGAGUGGCUUUAUUUUUUAAAAACCAGAGUCCUACUGUCAGUGUAGCUUAGUCUGUGUUUUCAUUCUCUCAGAAAUUAUGUCCAUUCCCAAGCGUCCAUUUAGCAAAAAAAAAGACUCAUUUUUGGAUACAAAGGGAGAAAAAUAAAGUGCUCUGUGUUUAUGCCAGGUUGAAUUUCUGGGUUUGCAUAGAGAUAGCUUCAGGCAACCAUUCCCCAAGUCUGGCAAUAAGCAUGCAAUCCUGUAACUGUGGCUUUUUGGAAAUGUGACAAAUUGGAGAGGGCCUAAUUUCCAAAUGAGAUGCUGUGGAAAUGUGUUGUUUUGACAGAGUAUUGUUCAGGAACAGGGACUCACCUUCAAAAAAGGAAAAUAACUUGACAGUUGUAACUCUCAGCUGGGAUCUGUGAGACCUAGGUUUGAAUUCCUACUUUUUUGGAUCUAGCUUAAGGAAUGGACUGGGACUUUCACAAAAAUCUAAUUUUAGUGACCUAACCAAAAGACUAUUAGUUAUUUCAAAACCUGUCUCUGUUCAUCUGUUUCUGCCUUCCUCUAUUUUUUGUUUUUCAGAUUCUUUUUCCUUUUUUUUAGACAAUAAUAAUAAUAAAAGAAAGAAGGUAAAGCCUUGGCUUUGUUCUGAUGCAAAGCAGGAGUGUGUUUUACAUCUCAACAUUUUCAGGACAGGGAAUCAAUUUUCUGCACAGCUCUGUCUGGAAUGUAAUUAUGGCAAUUGUAAUAUCUUUAACUUUAAUGCCUACUAUUGAUCCUGUUAUUGACCAAUGACUGCUUUUUAUUGUGUAAAUGCUGACAAAGAGACUGGUAAAAAAUAACAGUUACCAGGUGGCAUAAAUUAAUUUUUUAAAUUUUCUGA